RNAcentral lists this transfer RNA (74 nucleotides) under Streptococcus suis. Its description in RNAcentral is "tRNA-Arg". It matches the Rfam family "tRNA". From Rfam's summary of the family: Transfer RNA (tRNA) molecules are approximately 80 nucleotides in length. Their secondary structure includes four short double-helical elements and three loops (D, anti-codon, and T loops). Further hydrogen bonds mediate the characteristic L-shaped molecular structure. tRNAs have two regions of fundamental functional importance: the anti-codon, which is responsible for specific mRNA codon recognition, and the 3' end, to which the tRNAs corresponding amino acid is attached (by aminoacyl-tRNA synthetases). tRNAs cope with the degeneracy of the genetic code in two manners: having more than one tRNA (with a specific anti-codon) for a particular amino acid; and 'wobble' base-pairing, i.e. permitting non-standard base-pairing at the 3rd anti-codon position. RNAcentral also lists the same sequence under 11 other names. Lineage: Bacteria; Bacillati; Bacillota; Bacilli; Lactobacillales; Streptococcaceae. The record is from RNAcentral.
GCACCCAUAGCUCAAUUGGAUAGAGUACUUGACUACGAAUCAAGCGGUUGCAGGUUCGACUCCUGCUGGGUGUA